RNAcentral lists this ribosomal RNA (303 nucleotides) under uncultured bacterium. RNAcentral's name for it is "partial 16S ribosomal RNA". It matches the Rfam family "Bacterial small subunit ribosomal RNA", at positions 507 to 807 of the family's 1533-position model. The record is from RNAcentral.
AGCAGUCGCCGCGGUAAUACGGAGGGUGCAAGCGUUAUCCGGAUUUAUUGGGUUUAAAGGGUCCGUAGGCGGAUCUGUAAGUCAGUGGUGAAAUCUCACAGCUUAACUGUGAAACUGCCAUUGAUACUGCAGGUCUUGAGUAAAUUUGAAGUGGCUGGAAUAAGUAGUGUAGCGGUGAAAUGCAUAGAUAUUACUUAGAACACCAAUUGCGAAGGCAGGUCACUAAGAUUUAACUGACGCUGAUGGACGAAAGCGUGGGGAGCGAACAGGAUUAGAGACCCCUGUAGUCCCUGUCUCUUAUAC